AUUAGAUGGCCUAUAUAUAGUAAUUACUAGAUGUGUGCAGACCAGUAACAGAUCCUCUAAGUGAUGGAUUCAUUGUACUGGGCAGCACAGAUGCUUUCCAAUUCACUUACUUGUUUAACCAAAAUUUACUGUGCGCCUACGAUAUCCUAACACUGUGUUCAGCAUGAAAGCCUUAAAGGCCAAAAAGCCUGAAGGGGAAGCAAAGAGCCUUAAAAAAUCUACACAACCAACACUAAGAAGCAUGGGCUGUGAGGAAGGAUCCACGGAGGUUGGAUGAGAGCAGAAAGCAGAAGCUCUGCAGGAAGUGAGGAAGACUGCAGAAAAGACUUGAGAUGAAUAGGAAUGUGCUGGAGGGCUGGGGAAGUAUCUUGCAAAGAGACGGGCUAUUACAAAGCCCGCUGUAUUUUUAGUAGAGACGGGGUUUCACCGUGCUGGCCAGGCUGGUCUCGCUCUCUUGACCUCGUGAUCUGCCCGCCUCAGCCUCCCAAAGUGCUAGGAUUACAGGCAUGAGCCACCUCACCCAGCCCAGCUACUCGGGAGGAUGAAGCAGGAGAAUUGCUUGAACUCGGCAGGUGGAGGUUGCAGUGAGCCAAGAUUGUACCACAGCACUCCAGCCUGGGCGACAGAGCGAGACUCUGUCUCAAAAAACAUGCAAACAAACAAGCAAACAAACAAAAAACAAAGCCUGCUGGUUCUCAGGGAACACGGACCACUCAAGGUAUGGGAACAGAGUGGAGUUCAGGCAGAAGCAGGUGCAGUGAGAAGCAGAUGCAAUCGUAAGUGUCAUGCUAGCAUUCAACUGGGCCUGAGAGAUGGAGAGAUUUUUAAGCAGAAGAGAGACCUGGUUAGAUCGGUGUUUUGGAAAGCUCGCCAUGAAAGCUCCAUGCAAGAAGGACCAGAGAGUGGAGGCCGAAGCAGAAGAUGGGAUAAAAAACAACCCCAAAGGGUGUGCAGACUCCAGACGGAAAUCAAAAAAGUAAAGAACAGAACUCUGCAAAUGAUCCAGCAUGAUGAUAAGAGAGAGUGAGAGAGGCCAACUUUGGCUAAAUAAAACAGAUUUUGAUGUGUCGUUUUACACAACAAAAUAAUUUCAGAGAAGCUCUUGCAAUUAUGAAAUAUUAUUUACAUGUUUAACAAAUCCAGAUGAAGAACUUUUCAAAACUCUAUGGGAAGCAGCAGGGUCAAGAUGCAGGAGCUGGGAGACGGUCGUUUGAAUGGUCUUAUAUUCUUCUACCAGUUGAAGGAGCUUGGAAGAUCUUGCUGAACUUCAGCAUAUGUGAAAUGAAUUUGGAGCUACCUGAGUAUUCCAUCUCAUGAUGUUGAUAAAAGAACCAAGUGAAACAGCAUGUAGUGAACAAUUUUGUAAGUCCUAAGUAAAUACACAAAUGUAAUGUGGAGUAUAAUCAUAGCUUUAGGAAGCAUUGGCUGUUAUUAAAAGUCUCUAUAAUGGCAAUAAAGCAAGUUGAUGGGCUUUCUGAG
Molecule: long non-coding RNA, 1479 nt
Filed under: Callithrix jacchus (white-tufted-ear marmoset)
Lineage: Eukaryota; Metazoa; Chordata; Mammalia; Primates; Cebidae
Description: lncRNA (ENSCJAG00000081178.1)
Source: RNAcentral